AACGCAUAUUGCACUCUUUGGUAUUCCGAGGAGUAUACUUGUUUCAGUAUCAUGAAAAUCUCACCAAUGAAACUUUUUUUGUUUCAUCUGCGUGGACUUGGGUUUGCGAUUUCUAACACAAUUGCUAAUCUAAAAUGAAUUUCAUGAAGCUUAAAUAUGCUUUGAAUCUUUUGCUUAAUAGUUUUGCUUUGUCAAAUCUUUUGCAACUGGAUUCAAAUCCAAAAAGUGGAUUGAUUUUACGAAAAAUCAAAACCUUCAUUUUUUGAUCUGAAAUCAAGUAGGAUUACCCGCUGAACUUAA
RNAcentral lists this unclassified non-coding RNA (300 nucleotides) under uncultured Umbelopsis. RNAcentral's name for it is "sequence contains ITS2". Lineage: Eukaryota; Fungi; Mucoromycota; Umbelopsidomycetes; Umbelopsidales; Umbelopsidaceae. The record is from RNAcentral.